AAAUGUUUUUUCCUCCUAUGGGUCCCUAAUACUUCUGUUACUACCUAGGUUGUAAAUGGGGAUGUGGAAAGAAGACAUUAUGGCUGGGAGCUGCUCUGGCAGAACAGCAAUGUGCGCUCUACUGUCUCCUAGGGACCAUCUUUGCGUAGAUGCCUCUCACUUUUUACUGCUGCUCCCCUAGGCCCUCCACUGUCCUCUGCCACAAGCAGCUCGUUGUAAAACAGCCCCAAACAAAGGUAAUGGUUGUGGCAUUAUGGAAAUCAAAGUCAUUUGCAUGAUUUCCUUCAUGGCCCGAAUCCAUAGCUUCCAGCUGGCAGCCGCAAUCCUUCCUAAGAAGAUGGAUGUCUUUGAGCCAGGCCUGUCACUUGCCGAGGCAAACAUGUACCGUGUGGUGCCUGUAAAGUGGGGUCUGGGGAAGCUGCCCGGAAAUAAAUGAUGGCCGACAGCAACUUCACGGAAACUUUGGAAGCAGGAUAAUGAGAAGCAAGGCUGAUUUUGUUCUCUUCCUACAAAAGGCAUUUGGUCUUCAGUGUUAUCUCUGAAAGGAGGAAAUAAAUAGAAAGUCCCAAUCUGUCUCUUUGGCAAGACGAAGAGCUUGUGUCAGAAAUGGACUGGAUGUGUUUAAGAGGUCAAGAAAGAAGAUGUCCUUUCUGAAGUGGAUUGAAAUCUCCAGGGCUCUUUGAAGUCUCUUGCCAUUCCUUUUGAACAGAUGUUGAAAUAAAGGGGAA
Podarcis raffonei (Aeolian wall lizard) is the source of this 728-nucleotide long non-coding RNA. RefSeq lists it as uncharacterized. The transcript has 3 exons. The record is from RefSeq and is a predicted model, not a curated record. Lineage: Eukaryota; Metazoa; Chordata; Lepidosauria; Squamata; Lacertidae.